Molecule: unclassified non-coding RNA, 249 nt
Filed under: uncultured Mortierellales
Lineage: Eukaryota; Fungi; Mortierellomycota; Mortierellomycetes; Mortierellales
Description: sequence contains ITS2
Source: RNAcentral
AAACACCCUCAGCUCCCCCGCUUCUUAGGAAGAGAGGAGCUGGACUUGAGAGAUCCCAACGGCAGUGAGAACUGCUGGCGGGUCACUUGAAAUGCAGGUGCGGCUGGACACAUCUUCUGAGCUAUAAGCAUUACUUAUUUAGUCCCGUAAAACGGAUUAUAUCUAUUGCUACAGCUAACAUAAAGGUCGAUUGUUCUUGUGCCCGACUGAUGCAGGAAAAUGAAGGCGUCUAAUAGCGUCCUUUGUUCA